AUGCACUGCAGAGGAAGUGAUGUUGGUGAUGCUGAGUUGGCAAUAGGCAACCAGCACACAAGGCAUGUGCUAGAAGCUAUCCUGAGUUGUGGAGGGAUGCUGCACAUACUCAGAAAAGAGCAAAUCUCUGCCUUAAACAGACUCUUUGGUGGAGGGGAAUUUCAUUAGCAUGUGCCCUGAUCUUGUCCUCCAAGCCCUCAUUGCUUCAGACAAACAUGGAUUUAAUUGAGAGAAAACCAAGCUGUGACUAUGAUUCAGGUGGGAAGGCUGUUUCUCUGAACAAAUUAAAUCUAGUGGAAUGACUGAGUGUUCUUUUCUAUACCCUUCUGAUAGAUUUAAUACUGCAUAUUAAUUGUUGUUCUCCAAUCCUCGAUUCGGUGAUUGUUUUCCCCAGGAUCCUGUUGAGGGUGAUUGAUGUUCAGAUAAAUUUUUUGUUAUCAUAUAGAGAAAGAAAGAUUAACAUGUGCUAGUAAGAACACCAGGUUACAAGACUUUCGAUUAGCUUAAAUAUGAACACAAUAUUAACACAUGGUUCCACAGAUUUAAAAAGCAACAGUCUGGUCAAUACAACACAAAACUGACAAUCAGGGAAAAAAAACACUUGGGUUCUUAGGACUCCUUUCUAAUAUCUUCCUUUGGUAACACACAAACAGAUGAUCUGGUUAGUUUACCAGUUAACCCAGUUGGAAAGAUGCUUUUAUCAUGUUCACAGAUAUUCAAAAAGAACUGAAGAGCUUUUAUCAUGUUCAUAGAUACUCGAAAAUAACUGAAGAGAAUACACAAGUUUUGAAGUGUCUGCACACACUGCAGCCUCACACUUGUGUUGGACUGCAAAGUUCUAUAAGACAGGGCUAGGGCACAUCUUGCAUUAACCAGAGACUUAACACAUGUUUCUUGAAAUUGAAUUUCACUGUGAUAUUUAAGUUCCUUUAGUUUGAGCACAAAGAUAUCAAUUUGUAAGCCAUUCUUUAUUUUCCUUUCUCCUUGUUUUUUAACUAUUUUCCUUAUUAUUGAGCACUUUUUUUAGCUUUUAUUUAAUAAAUAUUAAUUUCCAAAGUACA
RNAcentral lists this long non-coding RNA (1061 nucleotides) under Oryctolagus cuniculus (rabbit). RNAcentral describes it as "lncRNA (ENSOCUG00000038756.1)". The record is from RNAcentral. Lineage: Eukaryota; Metazoa; Chordata; Mammalia; Lagomorpha; Leporidae.